This 1666-nucleotide unclassified non-coding RNA is filed under the name Bombus terrestris (buff-tailed bumblebee). RNAcentral's name for it is "misc RNA ENSBTSG00005031913.1". Lineage: Eukaryota; Metazoa; Arthropoda; Insecta; Hymenoptera; Apidae. The record is from RNAcentral.
AUUCCGCUUCGCAACCGUCCAUGUAUGGGUUUCCAAUAAAUGGUGGAACACACUUGCAUUUUCCAAUGCCAUCCUCCUCGACACAGACCGCGUUCUUUCCGCAAGGAACUAGCAGACAAGAUCGUUAAAAAUUUAACAAACAUUUACCUGCGCAACUCUGAUAAGGAUUUCCAACGGUAUGCUCCGGACAAUAACAAGGAGGUACUCUAUCCGAGUCACACUUAGCGCCAAGUCCACAAGGAUUAGGACUACACUGAUCAGACUUAGGCACGCAUCCCCUGAUCGUAUUUGGACUCUCGAUGUAUCCUGGUCCACAAGGAGAUGGUUCGCAAGGGUUGCUAGGAAGCGUGCAAGGGGAAGCAGGUGGUUUCCCCUCGUAUCCUGGCAAACAGAAGCAUCUCACUUGCCCUGACACCACGCGACACCCAGAAUUAACGCCACAUGGAUUUUCUUGGCACUGGUCACCUUCUGUCAAUCCUUUCGGACAGAAGCAUAUAGGAUUGCCAUUAUCGUUCUCGCACAUGGCGUCUAAACCACAAGGGUUUGGAACACACGGAUUGGUGGUCGUUAGUGUGCAUCCAACUUCAGGAUUUCCUUGGAAUCCAGGCAAACACUUGCAUUGAGCUUGAUGAUUCUCUGGAUAACAAUUAGCGUUCACACCGCAAUCGUUCUCCAAGCAUGGGUCGAUGCACUUCCGGUUAAGGCGAUCGCAAUAUUUGCUCGAUGGACAAUCUUCGUUGUAUUGGCAUAUGUUUCUGCUUUCUUCUUCUGAAACGUUGUGAAUUCACAAAUAUUUAUAACAUUUAUAUCAUAUCUGUUUUAUCUGUUUUAUGUUUAUAUCUAGGUAUAUCUUAUAUUUAUGAAGCAAAAUAUAUAUAUGUAAAAUGCUACAUGCAUCAGUCUUUCGCAAACAACGUAUUUUAAUGUAAAAUAAAUUGUAAUAGAAAUUAAAAUAUGAAGAUUACAUUAAUCUUUCUAAAAUUUGAUAAUUAUAUAUAAAUAUCGAAAAAAUUUGGUGUAUUUAUAUAACGAAGAAAUUACCUGGUUCACAGUAGGAGAAUCCAUUUCCAUGAUAACCGUCCUCGCAGCUGCAAUCCGCUUGGUGAUUGGUGUUAACGCAGAUCGCGUUUUUGGUGCAAGGAUUCCAAACGAGAACAAGUUGAAUGAGCGCUGUAAAAAGAAACGAAAUGAUGGAUGAUGAUGUACUCGUUCUUGUACGAACCUUUUACGCAAGUAUACGUCGCUGGAUCGCACUCCAUACCCGCUGGACAGUAGGGACAGUCUGUCUUAUCGUUUAUUACAUCUGAGAAAAUUGGAAAAAAAGAUCAAUUUCGUGGAAAAUUUGCUGUUUCUUCUGGUAAAAAUGGGAUGCAAAUGGCGGGACAUAACAUUUUUUAACUGAUAGAGAUUUUUGAACGUCAAAUGAUACAAAUUCAGUUAUUAUUCGAUUACCGAUUUUCAAAUUCUAAGCACUUUGAAAUUAAACUUUCAAAAUCUCUUAGACAUCAAUUUGUGAACUUUGAGAAUAAGUAUUAAGUAUCAAAUGUCCUGGUUUUAAGUUUCGAAGUUGUAUCAAUUGAUCUUUAUCUUCUUCCAACCAAAUUUUGCAUCCAAUUUUGUCUCAGAUUAAUUUUUCUUUCUAAUAUUCUACCUUUCACGCAAACAG